RNAcentral lists this ribosomal RNA (248 nucleotides) under uncultured bacterium. RNAcentral describes it as "partial 16S ribosomal RNA". It matches the Rfam family "Bacterial small subunit ribosomal RNA", at positions 529 to 776 of the family's 1533-position model. The record is from RNAcentral.
AGGGUGCAAACGUUGUUCGGAAUUACUGGGCGUAAAGCGUGUGUAGGUGGCUGCGAAAGUCGGAUGUGAAAGCCCUGGGCUCAACUCAGGAAGUGCACCCGAUACUGCGUAGCUCGAGUACCGGAGAGGUUGGUAGAAUUCUCGGUGUAGAGGUGAAAUUCGUAGAUAUCGAGAGGAAUACCUGUGGCGAAGGCGGCCAACUGGACGAGUACUGACACUGAGACACGAAAGCGUGGGGAGCAAACAGG